AGAGGGAGAUUUUUUAGGUUAAAAAAGGGGGUUUUUGGAACCCCUAGAUAAUAAGUCAAAAUUCUUUCCCUCUU
RNAcentral lists this transfer RNA (74 nucleotides) under Pinellia ternata. Its description in RNAcentral is "tRNA-Lys". Lineage: Eukaryota; Viridiplantae; Streptophyta; Magnoliopsida; Alismatales; Araceae. The record is from RNAcentral.